Long non-coding RNA from Lycium barbarum (goji berry), 4143 nucleotides. RefSeq lists it as uncharacterized. Lineage: Eukaryota; Viridiplantae; Streptophyta; Magnoliopsida; Solanales; Solanaceae. The transcript is spliced from 2 exons. The record is from RefSeq and is a predicted model, not a curated record.
GUAUAUGCCAAAUGAAAGAAAUGAAAAGACAAUUAAGACACUGCAGACCUGUGAGGACCUAAAAAGUAAACACAUAAGAGGUAGAAUUAAUGUUCAAUUUAUGAAAUGUAUACAUGUUAGUCCUUGCUUAGAGUACAAUUUCAGUUACUUUUGUUACAACUUAUUGUUGCUGUGUUCGUCCACCUUGGACGUUUAUAUAUAUAUAUAUAUUGUUUUUUAAUUACCCCUAAGCAAAGUUGCCUAGUGGUUGAUAUUUUAUUAUAAGUCUUAAAAGCAACAACAGUACAGAGUAAAGUUCAAAAAGGAAAGUAAAGUGUAUCUGAAACCAAAAAGUACUAAGCCACCUAGAAGCUUCCACCGGAGCUUAACUUGGUCGGAAUUUAACGCCGGAGUCGAUCGGAAUCUUCAAUUAGACAAAGAACAUAGUUUCUCCGAUAUGACAUCGCCCUUAUCGCAUCACAAACUCUCACCCGAUGCAGUGAUUUCAUAUCCAUGGAGUUUCACUCGGAGAAGCCCGACUCUUCAGUCUAAAAAGCUUCAAUGUCAAGACCAGCAUCAGAUCUAAGCGAUCUGAACAAGGUUAGUCCCCAAUCCAAGUUAAUCUCAGCUGAAAACACUCCAAUAGGUAGAUCUCCAUGUCUCGCCUUCGGUCCUUUCUAUAGCUCGAGAUCAUUAUUAAAAGCUGCUUGUACUUGUUGAUACCCAAUUUUGGCUCUCCUUUUUAUUUAAUUAAUUUCACUAUGCUUCUCCGUCGUGAAAAUUCCCCAAUAAAUGAGUUUGGAAUAUUUUCGCUAAUUAUUACACUAUUUUUCGAGAUAUAUUUCUCUUAAGUUAAGGACAUUUUUUAUUGUUUCCUAAAAAUUACCAAACAUCAUAUUUUUAUAAUUAAAAAUUACUAAACAACAUUCUUUACAAUUAAAUCACUCAAAAAAUAGUGUUAAUAUUCCUAUAUCGAUAUUAGCAUUGACAUUUCUCCUUUAAUACUAUUUCUUACUAUAUUAAUCAUAUUUUACUCUAUUUUAAAACUAAAUACUUAUAUUAAAUACUCGUAUUGCAGUUUAUAUAGAUAUACAUUUUGUGGGAAUUAAUUAGGACCAAGGAGCAUAUUUUAAUUAAUUGAUUGAAGUAAGAAGGGAUGAGAAAAUAAUUUACCUACCUAAAAUUUGGGCCAAAUCCUAUUACUAUCCUACAAAAUCUGUGGCCCAAAAACGCCCCAGCCCAAAUCCCCAACCCGGCCCAACACCCAAACCCACCUAAACUAAGUCUUCAACCUUUUCCUUUCAUUCUAACCGAACGAACCAAACAGCCCCUUUCUCUUUCUCCUUCAACCAAUAGCCCUAACCUCGUCUCUUCCACCUCGCCGCCACCCCACCCCCCAUCGUCAUGUCGUCUCACCACCACCACGCCCAUCAGACCACGGAACCAAACACCCCACUCUCUCGUUAACCCAAAAACAUCGAAACCCGUUGGUUUGAAGCUUUCACCGCCUCCACUGCCACCACGUCUCUUUCCCUUUGAUUGACGUGGUGGCAGAGCCGAAAGGAGCCGAUAUAUGUCGUUUCAACCCCUGUAGAAGAGGAGUGCAAUGAACCGCUAGUUUCAAGCUCGAACUCUCCUUCGAUUCAGUGGGUAAUGGAGGAAUCUACCAUGUACUACACCCCAACGACCUUUUCCCUUCCCAAUCAGUCUGAAAAGUUCUCGGCUGAGCAAGGACUGUUUGGAGCGGAUUCAGAGAUCCGACGACGACAUUAGCCUCAGUUCGCUGUCACAGAGAAGGUAACCACACUCGUCCUCUCUUCGUCUUUCAUUUUUAUAAGAAGUAGAAAUGUAGUCGUUCAAGUAUUUCUCAUCGUUUGCUUGGUUUGGUUGGCUGAAAUGUGUUCUCUCCUCGUUUGGUGUAAAUUAGUGUAAGGCGACGAAAUUCGUCGAAUAUGUGUUCAACCCCGUUCGUUGCUCGACAAAAAACGAUAAUUUUCUUUCUCGUCUUAGCAUUGUUCUUCAAUUAUGUAUAUUUCCAGUUUUAGGUAGAUUAGAUUAGCUUUAGUCCUGUUUAAGUAAGAUGUUUAGUUUUCCUCUUAAAAUAUUUCUUAUUCUGCGAUUCUGUUUAGCGUCAUGUAAUUCAGUUUAGUUUCAAUCUCGUUAAGUUAGAUAACUAAGCUUUCUUUCCCUAAACUCUCCGGAGGGUGCAAAACAUGAAUUCAUACUCCUUUGGUUAAAAAUCAUGAUUUUCCCUUAGAUAAUAUGAUCUGUAGAGUAGACUUAUAGCCAUGUGUCUUUAAUAUUAAUAAAUGCAUUGUUAAUUUUGGGGAUUCAUGAGAAUUAAGUUACUUUCAACUUUGUUUGAUUUAGGUUCCCCAUAAUUGUUUAUACUUUGUGUAGAUUGGUUUGGUUUUCAAUUCUAGUUGAACUAAAAUGCUAGCCUUUCUUUUCAAGUUCUUUGUGUAUUCCAAGUGUUGACUAGUUGUUUGAUUCUGUGUUGGUUCCAUAUGGAUCAAGUGGGAGCUUUACUGUUGCACUUUGGCGAUAACCUUGCUGUUUUUACUACUUGCUAUUUAUUGAUGUUGUUUGCUGCUACAUCUUGGUGCAAGGGUUGCUAUGCCUUAGGCAUAUUUUACUGCAUAUUUUUUUUAGUUAAACUAGUACUGCCUUGGUUUCUCGUGUUGCUGUCUCUUAGAAGGCUAAAACUGACAUCCUCUAUUGCACUGCUUGCUGUUUUGCUUCUAAACUACUAUGUUUACUUAUUGCGGCCUUCAAAUGCACAUUUUCCCUGCCAUCUUGGGCUGGUAAACUACUGUUUUUAGAGCAGUUGCCUGUUACAUAUAACUACUUUUAACUGCUACCUGUUGGUACUAUCUGGUUGUUGCUACAUAUCAGUCAGUUUUCAACUGUCUUUGUCCAAGAAAAAGGAGCAGAUGCUACACCUGAGUUUCCUAUUUUAGUUGUCUCUGAUCAGUGGUUACACCUUGAUGCUAAGUUGUUAGCAUACUCUGUUGCUGCAUUUAUAAAACAGAAACUGAAACUACACUUGAGCUAUUGUAUUUUGGUGGUGCUAGUACAGUCCUUUUGAGCUCCUACUAUGGGCUGUUUUCAUUUAGUUGUUGUUAUGUCUAUUGAUUAUGUGAGCCACAUGUUAUGGUUUAUAUGUUGCUGCAUCUAUAUAAGCUGCUGCCUUAAAAGGAAACAGUCCGCUCACUUUAGCACUAUAUUACCAUAACUAAGUUGCUGUACUUUGAGCAUUUCGUGACGGUGCUUGAUAUGCUGCUGCUCUAUGAAUUGCCUCAGUUUGAUGCUUCAGUCGAGUUUGUUAUUUGAUAGGGGCUUUUGUUCCAUUUUCGGAACAAGCAGAUGUUACACUUUGAUGCUUUACACGAUUUGAACAUGAUACUACACUGGGGCCGAUGAAAAGUUGUUUAACUUGAGGCCUCACUUUUAAAAGAACGGAUUUCCAUACUUGAUUGAAAGUUUACUGAUUUGAACACUUAAAACUUGCAUAAAAAGGGAGUGGGGCUGCUAUACUCAAGUUCGGGUGCAAUUAAUAUGCUAAAUUAUUUUUUCCUUAUUUGAACCUAGAAAAAAUAUGCUAAGUAUCUCUGGAUAUAUGUUGUUUGGGAAUAAGCCAAUACGAUGUUUUGAAGUCUGAGUAAGCUUUAGUUUAAUCAAAAGUUCUUGUUGUACAUUUAGCUUGAAGCGUUUGGUUGUUUGGGUAGCAAUUGGGACUACAAUGAUCUUCUUUUAAACUGAUCGUGGUGUUGCGUUCUGAGAAUAUGACAUGAGAAAGCCUUGUCUCACAUUUGAUUCUUUUAUCUAGCUUUUAUUAAUUAAAGUUAUAGAGACUUCUUUUUCCUUGUUGAGAAUUGUUUCUAAUCCUUAUCUUUUUUUUUUUUUCAUGAGGAACCUUGGGAGCAUUUGGAGUUAUGGCAACUCUGGAUUCUGCCCAUAUCAGAGAACAACCAGUUGCAAGAUUUAAUUGCUCGUGUCUAGCGUCCCCGUCUUCCUUCCUCUCUUUAAAUUUCGUGUUAUCAUGUAUAUACAUGUUUAUAUUCUUGACUAACAUUUUUAUGGAUUGUAUUUGUAGCACAUUUGUUUCUCGCUUGUGUAGGAACUUACGGAAAAAUAGUUAAAGUAUGAUGGUAAAUUUAGUCA